This 418-nucleotide unclassified non-coding RNA is filed under the name Hevea brasiliensis (rubber tree). The record is from RNAcentral. Lineage: Eukaryota; Viridiplantae; Streptophyta; Magnoliopsida; Malpighiales; Euphorbiaceae.
GGCUUGCUUGUUCAAAUUGUCUAGUUCAACAUUACAAAGCUUAUACUUGUCAUUUUACAUAUGGAAAAAAAGGUUUUGAGCUAGAUGGUGCUGUUGUUUGGAAUUGUCAAAUGGUUAAUUUCUUUUUGAAUUUCAAUUGAUAUUUGCACUACCUGACUGAUUUUUAGUUUGGUUCAUAUUUAUCAAUAUGACUCUUUGACAGUGAGGAUUGGUUGAGUUGAGUUGUAUCUAUGUAGCUAAGUUGAGCUAGAUGUGAAUGUCAUGUAAUUUGAUUCUUGAGCUGAAGUUGAGCUUAUUUCUUUCCUAACUUUUUCCCUAUGUCAUUCGUAUUCUGUUACUUUCUUUCAUGCACUAUGUAGAUGCUUCUGAGUUCCAAUAUAUACUAUUUUUGAAUUUUGGGCAAAAUUUUCAACUUCUU